Molecule: transfer RNA, 75 nt
Filed under: Minisyncoccota bacterium
Lineage: Bacteria; Bacillati; Minisyncoccota
Description: tRNA-Ile
Rfam family: tRNA
About the family: Transfer RNA (tRNA) molecules are approximately 80 nucleotides in length.
Source: RNAcentral
GGGACCAUAGCUCAGUGGUAGAGCGCGCGACUCAUAAUCGCUUGGUCGCAGGUUCGAUCCCUGCUGGUCCCACCA